Molecule: long non-coding RNA, 241 nt
Filed under: Brassica rapa (field mustard)
Lineage: Eukaryota; Viridiplantae; Streptophyta; Magnoliopsida; Brassicales; Brassicaceae
Description: long non-coding RNA (BRAP_LNC004050)
Source: RNAcentral
GCAAAUGUAGUUAGGUUGGGAAUAGAAGAUUUUUUAUUCAACUUGGAAAUGGUUCUCAUCAUUGCAAGCAAGGUAGAAAAAUUAAGAUCCAACCAAAUUAUGAUAAGUGAGACUUGCACACAACUCAAUUCUACAUUACUCCAAUAAUUAUUUGGGACCACACUAGAUUACUGUUUCACGAAAUAUGCUCACAUUAAUUAUAUGGUAAUUUUGUAAUAAAAAUAUGAAUUGUUACAAACAG